UUUAUCCUAAACGUAUAGAGAUGUUUUUAGGAAAGAUAUAACGUUGUAUAAGGGUCUAAUGAGUUCAUGAGUGGUCCUUGGGGUAGGGAUGGAAGUUGUCUAUAAGGGUAUAGCCUCUCAAUGUAUCUAAGCUAAUAUAAUUGAUGUUGUUGAUUACUAAUAUCCUUGAGUUGUUGAAUUCUGUUUGAACGUUUUGAAUGGAGCUUGAUGUAUGAACAUGAUUAAGAUAAAUUGUGCAUUUUUCUGGAUUGUUGGAUUGAUUAAUGAUGAACCAUUGAUGACUGUGUUGUAUGUUUACAUUCAUUAAAUCAUACAAGUGUGGAGUUAUGGAGAGUUGAGUCAUAUACAUAUAUAUGCAUUUGUUGAGUUGUAUGUAGAUAUACACAGGUUGGGUAGUUGCAUAGCAUCAAAGUGGGAGAGCUUCGGCUCUGGAACGCCUUGUCGUUCAAAGCGGUGGAACACUAGUUGUUCAAAAGCGGUGUUGAGCGGUGAGGACUUAGGUCCUGAUGAGAAUGCUUUAACCAUUCGACAGCGGUGUGGGUCACGGCCCUGAAUAUGGUACCACAUGCAUAUUUGCAUUUAUCAAGGAGUCUAGGGUGUUGUUUUAGCGGUGUGGUCAUGACCUUUGCAUGAGUCGGUGUUGUUGGUUGUAGUUGCCAUAUUGACGAUGAUGAUGUUGUUUGUUAGAUGAAGUAUAUAUUUAUACAUAUAUGAUGAUGAUUUGAUUUGAUGAUGAUGAUGUUGUUUUAUGAAGUAUAUAUUUAUGAAUAUAUGAUGAUGAACUGAUUAUAUUUAGGGUGUUAGAUUCAAUUGACGAAUUUUAAUAUCUAUAUCUUAUUGUUGUGAAUCUCACCCCUUCUGCUUGAAAAUGUUGCCCUUCCUAUGGGUAACUUGCAGGUGAUCCUGAGUAGUUGGUGGUGGCUCAAGUGUCUAGGGCUCUGAUACAUUUGGG
Molecule: long non-coding RNA, 952 nt
Filed under: Medicago truncatula (barrel medic)
Lineage: Eukaryota; Viridiplantae; Streptophyta; Magnoliopsida; Fabales; Fabaceae
Description: long non-coding RNA (MTRU_LNC002724)
Source: RNAcentral